UGCAUAUCCAAAAAGCGGAGGAAAAGAAACCAACAGGGAUUGCCUCAGUAACGGCGAGUGAAGCGGCAACAGCUCAAAUUUGAAAUCUGGCCUCUUCGGGGUCCGAGUUGUAAUUUGUAGAGGAUGUUUCGGGUACCGCCUCGGUCUAAAUUUCUUGGAACAGAAUGUCAGAGAGGGUGAGAAUCCCGUCUUGGACCGGCGGUAGGGCCCAUGUGAAACUCCUUCGACGAGUCGAGUUGUUUGGGAAUGCAGCUCAAAAUGGGUGGUAAAUUUCAUCUAAAGCUAAAUAUUGGCCAGAGACCGAUAGCGCACAAGUAGAGUGAUCGAAAGAUGAAAAGAACUUUGAAAAGAGAGUUAAACAGUAUGUGAAAUUGUUGAAAGGGAAGCGCUUGCAACCAGACUUGAGCGCGGCGGUUCCCCCUUCCUUCUGGUUGGGUUACUCCGCCGUGUCCAGGCCAACAUCGGUUCUGGGGGUCGGUUAAAGGCUUGGGGAAUGUAUCUACUCCUUCGGGGGUAGACUUAUAGCCCCAGGUGUCAUGCGACCUCCCGGGACCGAGGAACGCGCUUCGGCUCGGAUGUUGGCGUAAUGGUUGUCAGCGACCCGUCUUGAAACACGGACCAAAA
Molecule: ribosomal RNA, 624 nt
Filed under: Exophiala jeanselmei
Lineage: Eukaryota; Fungi; Ascomycota; Eurotiomycetes; Chaetothyriales; Herpotrichiellaceae
Description: LSU rRNA
Rfam family: Eukaryotic large subunit ribosomal RNA
Source: RNAcentral